AGUGAACGCUGGCGGUAGGCCUAACACAUGCAAGUCGAACGGCAGCACAGUAAGAGCUUGCUCUUACGGGUGGCGAGUGGCGGACGGGUGAGGAAUACAUCGGAAUCUACUUUUUCGUGGGGGAUAACGUAGGGAAACUUACGCUAAUACCGCAUACGACCUACGGGUGAAAUCAGGGGAUCUUCGGACCUUGCGCGAUUGAAUGAGCCGAUGUCGGAUUAGCUAGUUGGCGGGGUAAAGGCCCACCAAGGCGACGAUCCGUAGCUGGUCUGAGAGGAUGAUCAGCCACACUGGAACUGAGACACGGUCCAGACUCCUACGGGAGGCAGCAGUGGGGAAUAUUGGACAAUGGGCGAAAGCCUGAUCCAGCCAUACCGCGUGGGUGAAGAAGGCCUUCGAGUUGUAAAGCCCUUUUGUUGGGAAAGAAAAGCAGCAGGUUAAUACCCCGCUGUUCUGACGGUACCAAAAGAAUAAGCACCGGCUAACUUCGU
Molecule: ribosomal RNA, 491 nt
Filed under: uncultured bacterium
Lineage: Bacteria
Description: partial 16S ribosomal RNA
Rfam family: Bacterial small subunit ribosomal RNA
Source: RNAcentral